GGAGGUUUAGACACUGGGACAGCACGGGAGGGAGGCUGCAGUGGGGUCUGGCUGUGGGGCGGGGUGGAGUAGGGAAGGCCAGGGAAUUGCUGCUGCUGAAGGGGGAGCGUGUGGGGUUGGACAUACACCAGGGUGGGUGUCUGGUGUACAAGGGAAAGCUCUGGCCCCCAUGAUGAGCGGGGCAGGUUGCACAAGGAGGGGACGGGGAACUCCCUGCAGAGAGAGAUGGGGCGGGAGUGGGAUUUCCUGCUUUUCUCCCCACUCGGAGGGACCGUUAUGUGGAGCUGUUCUGCUCCUCCCCAGUGGCAGCUGCGUCUCUGUGCCACAUGAGUUGUUCCCGGCGUAGCCAGCCGGAUUUCCCUCUUACAGUAGCUCUGGGCCGGCCUGACUGUUCCUUGGAUUGGAAUGCGCUCAAGGGAGGGAAAUUCCCCACCCUUUUUUCAUAUUUCCUGGUUUCACUCCGGACAGGGAACCGUCGGUUGAAGUACAUCAGCCUGGCAGUGCUAGUGGUCCAAAACGCCUCCCUCAUCCUGAGCAUCCGCUACGUGCGAACCCUGCCCGGGGAGCGCUUCUUCGCCACCACGGCUGUGGUGAUGGCUGAGCUGCUCAAGGGAGCCACCUGCCUGCUGCUCAUCUUCCUCCAGAAACAAGGCAGCGUGCGGCAGUUUGCCCUGUUCCUGUACGACGCCGUGGUGGUGCAGUACGUGGACACGCUGAAGCUGGCGGUGCCCUCGCUGAUCUACACGCUGCAGAACAACCUCCAAUACGUCGCCAUCUCCAACCUGCCGGCAGCCACCUUCCAGGUCACCUACCAGCUGAAGAUCCUGACCACGGCCGUCUUCUCGGUCCUGAUGCUUCGCAAGAGCCUGUCGCGCCUGCAGUGGGUGUCCCUGCUGCUGCUCUUUGCCGGCGUGGCCAUCGUCCAGGUGGAGCAGGGCCAGGCGGGCGGGGGGAGCUCCCCGGGUGCCGCCCAGCAGAGCUACGCCGUCGGCCUGGUCGCCGUGGUGGUCUCCUGCCUCUCCUCGGGCUUCGCCGGCGUCUACUUCGAGAAGAUCUUGAAGGGCAGCUCGGCCUCCGUGUGGCUCCGCAACGUGCAGCUGGGCAUCUUCGGGACCCUGCUGGGGCUGCUGGGAAUGUGCUGGGCCGAGGGGGCGGCUGUGGCUGCCCAGGGCUUCUUCCAUGGCUACAGCCCGCUGGUGUGGGGCGUCAUCCUCAACCAGGCCUUCGGCGGCCUCCUGGUGGCCGUGGUGGUGAAGUACGCGGACAACAUCCUCAAGGGCUUCGCCACCUCGCUCUCCAUCGUGGCCUCCACCGUGGCCUCCAUGUACCUCUUCGGCUUCCGCCUGCACCCGCCCUUCGCCCUGGGGGCCGGGCUGGUCAUCGGGGCCGUCUACAUGUACAGUCUGCCCAAGGCCGGGCCGCCCCUGGGCCCUCGCCAGGAGCCCACGGCCCUGCUGCCCCUCGGCAAGGAACCCAGCGAGCCGGGCUACCCGCCCAAGUCAGUGCUGGUCGAGUGAGGCCUGCUAGGGGGUGGGGUGGGGGGGUCUCUCCUGGGCCCCGAGCCCCUCCAGAGCCUCUCUCUGCCCCUCCUACCUGGGCUUCUGCCCCAUGUCUCCCUCACUUGAGUGGUCUUUGGGGGGAAGCACGUCCCCCUUUCCCACCCCCCCUCCAAACAUUCUGCUGCUGCCUCCCCGUGUCUCCCCCGCCCCACAUCUAUCCCCCACCCUGCUCCAGUUCAGACUGUUCCCCUCUCCUGGGUCCAGAUGACGGACACCCCCCACUUGGCCCAGGAGAGGCAUUUAGGUGCACACUACAGGGGGGACAAGUUAUGCGGGGGUCACCUCCGCCCCCAAAGAGACCAUGACCCCCCCGCCCUUGAGCUGUGGGGGGUCGGCAAAUGGAUUGAACCAGAGGAUUAUUUUUGUACGAUACCAAAGCAGCCCCGAUGGACAGUGCAUGAAGAUGGGGGGCAGGAGGGAGCCCCCAGGAAUGGCUCGGCCAUACCAAGCUGGCAUCUGGAGGAAGGACUCGCCACCCUUCCAAAGGGUGAUGAUUGGCCUGGGCAGCGUGGGAGUGCUGCCCACGGCACCCCCUUUGUCAGAGUACUCUCUCACACAGCCCCCUAAGUUGUGUGUUGGGGGAAAGUGCUGGGAGCCAGGACUCCUGGGUUCUCCCCCCGGCUCUGGGAGGGGAGUGGGGUCUAGUGGUUAGAACAGGAGAGCUGGGAGUCAGGACUCGCUGUCUGUAAAUUUCAGCUGAGUUACUCCCCCAGCUCUGUGACUCAGUUUCCCCCGGGUGUUCCAGGACGCUGCCCUGCCCUGGCUCCUUGGGGCUUGGCUGGGUGAGAGCAAACGGCUGUGACCUGCCAUUAAUUACUAAUCCAUCUCCCUGGCGGGAGGCAGCAUCCCUGGGCGGGCAGUUCCCAGGGGCAGUGGGGACAGAUGCUGCCAUUGGUACCAGACAGCGGGGAGCAGCCAGUGUGAAUGUGCAUCGCGCCCCGACUCCACUGCGAAUCCCUUCCCAGCAGCUUGGGGGCUGGCCCCAUUGACGCUGCCGGGGGUCAUACCCGGGGACUCCAUGGAGCGACGGCCGAUGGACACAGGCGGGGGGCUGGCCCCAACCUCACACAAAUGAGGCUGGCAUGUAAAGAGAAGGGCUCCUGAGUCAGGCAGUGACUGGGGCGGGGCGACGUUCGCCAUGUCUGGAAGCAUCCAGCCCCGGCUUCAGCAGGGGCCCCUCCGCCCUGCCCCAUCCCGGGGCCAGGUGAGGCAGCCUGGGAUCCUGCCCGUGGCUUUCAGAAAGAAGUAGGAGAUGCAGUGGAAGGGGAGGGCUGGGAGCCAGGACUCCUGGGUUCUCUGCUGGCUCUGGGAGGGGAGUGGGGACUGGUGGUUAGA
Molecule: RNA transcript, 2894 nt
Organism: Gopherus evgoodei (Goodes thornscrub tortoise)
Lineage: Eukaryota; Metazoa; Chordata; Testudines; Testudinidae
Gene: SLC35A2
Gene name: solute carrier family 35 member A2
Exons: 5
Source: RefSeq, a predicted model, not a curated record